GACGAACGCUGGCGGCGUGCUUAACACAUGCAAGUCGAACGGUGAAGCUCCAGCUUGCUGGAGUGGAUCAGUGGCGAACGGGUGAGUAACACGUGAGCAACCUGCCCCUGACUCUGGAAUAAGCGCUGGAAACGGCGUCUAAUACUGGAUACGAGAAGGGUCCGCAUGGGCACUUUCUGGUAAGUUUUUCGGUUGGGGAUGGGCUCGCGGCCUAUCAGCUUGUUGGUGAGGUAAUGGCUCACCAAGGCGACGACGGGUAGCCGGCCUGAGAGGGCGACCGGCCACACUGGGACUGAGACACGGCCCAGACUCCUACGGGAGGCAGCAGUGGGGAAUAUUGCACAAUGGGCGAAAGCCUGAUGCAGCGACGCCGCGUGAGGGAUGACGGCCUUCGGGUUGUAAACCUCUUUCAGCAGGGAAGAAGCGAAAGUGACGGUACCUGCAGAAGAAGCACCGGCUAACUACGUG
RNAcentral lists this ribosomal RNA (468 nucleotides) under uncultured bacterium. Its description in RNAcentral is "partial 16S ribosomal RNA". It matches the Rfam family "Bacterial small subunit ribosomal RNA", at positions 28 to 507 of the family's 1533-position model. The record is from RNAcentral.